GUAAGGAAUAUUGGGCAAUGGAGGCAACUCUGACCCAGCCAUGCCGCGUGAAGGAUUGACGGCCCUCUGGGUUGUAAACUUCUUUUGUACGGGAAUAACCCUCCGGACGUGUCCGGAGCUGAAGGUACCGUAAGAAUAAGGAUCGGCUAACUCCGUGCCAGCAGCCGCGGUAAUCCGGAGGAUCCAAGCGUUAUCCGGAUUUACUGGGUUUAAAGGGUGCGUAGGCGGAUUAAUAAGUCAGUGGUGAAAGCCUGCAGCUUAACUGCAGAACUGCCAUUGAUACUGUUAGUCUGGAGUAUGGUUGAGGUAGCUGGAAUGUGUCAUGUAGCGGUGAAAUGCUUAGAGAUGACACAGAACACCGACGGCGAAGGCAGGUUACCAACCCAUUACUGACGCUGAGGCACGAAAGCGUGGGGAUCAAACAGGAUUAGAAACCCGAGUAGUCC
This 446-nucleotide ribosomal RNA is filed under the name uncultured bacterium. RNAcentral describes it as "partial 16S ribosomal RNA". It matches the Rfam family "Bacterial small subunit ribosomal RNA", at positions 354 to 796 of the family's 1533-position model. The record is from RNAcentral.